UAUAGUUGAUUCUAAGUAUGCACCAGUUCUGUUGCUAUACACAAAUAGAAAUGACCCAUCGGUAUAAUUAAUCGCGUGACUAAUAUGCCGCAAUCUCAUGGGGAAGAAAACCAAUAUUUUUUUUUUCAAUUGUCAACACUCAAUAUAUACAUUACAAUGUUUUGUAGGAGAAAAAACUUCUCUUGGAUCUCUCUACUUGAGCUAUAAAUGACUAAAUUUCAGGCUAAAUGACAACCCAAACCGAUCUGAAAAAUAAGGACAGCUUUUAGCACAAAGAAGAUUAAAUAAAAUAGUUAUAUUUCUAGACCAGCAUAAAAAUGCAAAAUUGGUAUCCAUUUCCUACUUAAUGUAUCCCAACAAAACUCUUUGACAAUCAAACCCCAAUAGGCAACAGGAACCUAAGAAUAUUUAUUCAAAAUCUAUUCAAAUUCUUAACAAUACUGCUGUAAAUUCACAACUGCAACCAAGUUCCCCAGACUUGUGAAAAUUCUGCCCCAAGAGCAAUAAAAACUGCAUCUGGUCAAUCAUAUAGGUGCAGGAUGGCAGCAGCUAGUGUAGGGCAGUACAUGGCAUCUCAUAUGAUACUGGACAGUGGACAGUACAGGGUGAAAUUUUUUAUUAUUAUACAGAACUUUUAAAAAAUUUGAUUAUGUCAUACUCUUUUAACAUUUUGGAUAUUAUUUCAUGCACUUAAGUGAAUUUUUUAUUUUAUUUUUUAAAGUGUAUUAUAGGUGCAGCAGGAAUUUAUGCCACAUACUUCAUUCACGUACAAACAAAAAAAAGCAACUAGAUUUAGUAGAAGAUACAAUGAUGUAUCAUACCAACAAAAUUUUUGGCACAUUCAAUAAUAAUCAAUGAAGGUUUAUAAAAAACUCACUCUGCAGGAUACUGAAAAAGGUUGAUAAAAAAUAAUGAAGGUUUAUAAAUAAAACUUACUCUGCAGGAUACUGAAAAAGGUCGAUAAAAAACAAUGAAGGUUUAUAAAAAAUAAAAAACACUUACUCUGCAGGAUACUGGAAAAGGUUGAUAAAAAACAGCUUGACGUUGUCUAGUAAUUCAGGAGCAGCAUCAGCCACAAUUCUUGAAACUUUAUAACUUAUCUGUAAAUAAAAAUUGAGGCCAGGGAAGAGAUUAGAAGUGGUGGCAUGCUUGGAAGAAACAUAAUGAACACAAAAUAGAGAACAUUACACUGAUCAAGU
Molecule: long non-coding RNA, 1199 nt
Filed under: Olea europaea (common olive)
Lineage: Eukaryota; Viridiplantae; Streptophyta; Magnoliopsida; Lamiales; Oleaceae
Description: long non-coding RNA (OEUR_LNC013027)
Source: RNAcentral